MicroRNA precursor from Callithrix jacchus (white-tufted-ear marmoset), 86 nucleotides. The record is from Ensembl. Lineage: Eukaryota; Metazoa; Chordata; Mammalia; Primates; Cebidae.
GUUAAAUUUUCAGUCUUUCCCACUAGAAUGUAAGAGCCACAACAGCAUGGCUCUUACAUUCUAGUGGGAAAGACUGAAAAUUUUGC